CAGUCGCCACGGGAAUACGGAGGGAGCUAGCGUUGUUCGGAAUUACUGGGCGUAAAGCGCGCGUAGGCGGUUACUCAAGUCAGAGGUGAAAGCCCGGGGCUCAACCCCGGAACUGCCCUUGAAACUAGGUGACUAGAAUCUUGGAGAGGUCAGUGGAAUUCCGAGUGUAGAGGUGAAAUUCGUAGAUAUUCGGAAGAACACCAGUGGCGAAGGCGACUGACUGGACAAGUAUUGACGCUGAGGUGCGAGAGCGUGGGGAGCAAACAGGAUUAGAUACCCCCGUAGUCCCUGUCUCUUAUAA
This 301-nucleotide ribosomal RNA is filed under the name uncultured bacterium. Its description in RNAcentral is "partial 16S ribosomal RNA". It matches the Rfam family "Bacterial small subunit ribosomal RNA", at positions 509 to 809 of the family's 1533-position model. The record is from RNAcentral.